AGAGUUUGAUCCUGGCUCAGGAUGAACGCUGGCGGCGUGCCUAAUACAUGCAAGUCGAGCGAACGGACGAGAAGCUUGCUUCUCUGAUGUUAGCGGCGGACGGGUGAGUAACACGUGGAUAACCUACCUAUAAGACUGGGAUAACUUCGGGAAACCGGAGCUAAUACCGGAUAAUAUUUUGAACCGCAUGGUUCAAAAGUGAAAGACGGUCUUGCUGUCACUUAUAGAUGGAUCCGCGCUGCAUUAGCUAGUUGGUAAGGUAACGGCUUACCAAGGCAACGAUGCAUAGCCGACCUGAGAGGGUGAUCGGCCACACUGGAACUGAGACACGGUCCAGACUCCUACGGGAGGCAGCAGUAGGGAAUCUUCCGCAAUGGGCGAAAGCCUGACGGAGCAACGCCGCGUGAGUGAUGAAGGUCUUCGGAUCGUAAAACUCUGUUAUUAGGGAAGAACAUAUGUGUAAGUAACUGUGCACAUCUUGACGGUACCUAAUCAGAAAGCCACGGCUAACUACGUGCCAGCAGCCGCGGUAAUACGUAGGUGGCAAGCGUUAUCCGGAAUUAUUGGGCGUAAAGCGCGCGUAGGCGGUUUUUUAAGUCUGAUGUGAAAGCCCACGGCUCAACCGUGGAGGGUCAUUGGAAACUGGAAAACUUGAGUGCAGAAGAGGAAAGUGGAAUUCCAUGUGUAGCGGUGAAAUGCGCAGAGAUAUGGAGGAACACCAGUGGCGAAGGCGACUUUCUGGUCUGUAACUGACGCUGAUGUGCGAAAGCGUGGGGAUCAAACAGGAUUAGAUACCCUGGUAGUCCACGCCGUAAACGAUGAGUGCUAAGUGUUAGGGGGGUUUCCGCCCCUUAGUGCUGCAGCUAACGCAUUAAGCACUCCGCCUGGGGAGUACGACCGCAAGGUUGAAACUCAAAGGAAUUGACGGGGACCCGCACAAGCGGUGGAGCAUGUGGUUUAAUUCGAAGCAACGCGAAGAACCUUACCAAAUCUUGACAUCCUUUGACAACUCUAGAGAUAGAGCCUUCCCCUUCGGGGGACAAAGUGACAGGUGGUGCAUGGUUGUCGUCAGCUCGUGUCGUGAGAUGUUGGGUUAAGUCCCGCAACGAGCGCAACCCUUGAGCUUAGUUGCCAUCAUUAAGUUGGGCACUCUAAGUUGACUGCCGGUGACAAACCGGAGGAAGGUGGGGAUGACGUCAAAUCAUCAUGCCCCUUAUGAUUUGGGCUACACACGUGCUACAAUGGACAAUACAAAGGGCAGCGAAACCGCGAGGUCAAGCAAAUCCCAUAAAGUUGUUCUCAGUUCGGAUUGUAGUCUGCAACUCGACUACAUGAAGCUGGAAUCGCUAGUAAUCGUAGAUCAGCAUGCUACGGUGAAUACGUUCCCGGGUCUUGUACACACCGCCCGUCACACCACGAGAGUUUGUAACACCUGAAGCCGGUGGAGUAACCUUUUAGGAGCUAGCCGUCGAAGGUGGGACAAAUGAUUGGGGUGAAGUCGUAACAAGGUAGCCGUAUCGGAAGGUGCGGCUGGAUCACCU
RNAcentral lists this ribosomal RNA (1541 nucleotides) under Staphylococcus aureus. RNAcentral describes it as "16S ribosomal RNA". It matches the Rfam family "Bacterial small subunit ribosomal RNA". The record is from RNAcentral. Lineage: Bacteria; Bacillati; Bacillota; Bacilli; Caryophanales; Staphylococcaceae.